Long non-coding RNA from Gordionus sp. m RMFG-2023, 462 nucleotides. RefSeq lists it as uncharacterized. The record is from RefSeq and is a predicted model, not a curated record. Lineage: Eukaryota; Metazoa; Nematomorpha; Gordioida; Chordodea; Parachordodidae. The transcript is spliced from 3 exons.
AGGAAAACCUAGCGUAGCUCUGUUGCAUUUCAACACUAGAGGGCAUAAGCGCUAUAUAUCACGUAUCACGUAAAAGUAGUCUACGAAGAUAAUUUACUUUAAAAAUAAUGGGAGUGUGCCGUGUUCAGAGUAAUAAAACAAAUAAAAUAGUAAACAAUUUCUAUAUAUCUUAUCACAAAUGUUAACAUUAUCAAACCUAUAGCCAAUCUAGUACCCAUACCCACCACUUCAUCUUAUUAUUUUAGAAACACAAACCCACAUAUCCCGAAAUUAUCUUUAUAUGCAAUGGUUAGUGAUUCUUAUAAUGAUAAUAAUAUCAAUAAUAUGCUAAUAAAUAUUAAAAAUAAUGAGGGUGGGGGGGGGGUUGGUGAUACCUUCUACUAGUAUGUCCAAACUAUGCAGAAUAUGUGAAAGUUCAUUUAGAACUUAUCAAAACGAAAUCACACAUAAAAAUAUUUUUGA